GUACUUACCUGGACGGGGUCAAUAGGCGAUCAAUAAGACCUAUGGCCUAUGCUGGUGACCUCCAUUGCACUUUGGAGGGGUGCCUGCGUAAGGUCGGCCCAAGAGGUCGAGCCUGCGUCAUAAUUUGUGCCAGAGGGGGCCUGCGUUCGCGCGGCCCCUGC
Non-coding RNA from Erythranthe guttata (spotted monkey flower), 161 nucleotides. Lineage: Eukaryota; Viridiplantae; Streptophyta; Magnoliopsida; Lamiales; Phrymaceae. The record is from Rfam.